UACGUAGGGUGCGAGCGUUAAUCGGAAUUACUGGGCGUAAAGCGUGCGCAGGCGGUCUGUUAAGACCGAUGUGAAAUCCCCGGGCUUAACCUGGGAACUGCAUUGGUGACUGGCAGGCUUUGAGUGUGGCAGAGGGAGGUAGAAUUCCACGUGUAGCAGUGAAAUGCGUAGGGAUGUGGAGGAAUACCGAUGGCGAAGGCAGCCUCCUGGGCCAACACUGACGCUCAUGCACGAAAGCGUGGGGAGCAAACAGG
RNAcentral lists this ribosomal RNA (254 nucleotides) under uncultured bacterium. Its description in RNAcentral is "partial 16S ribosomal RNA". It matches the Rfam family "Bacterial small subunit ribosomal RNA", at positions 524 to 776 of the family's 1533-position model. The record is from RNAcentral.